GACGAACGCUGGCGGCGUGCCUAACACAUGCAAGUCGAACGAAGUGGCGAACGGGUGAGUAACGCGUAAUCAACCUGCCCUUCAGAGGGGGACAACAGUUGGAAACGACUGCUAUUACCGCAUACUGAAGGAGGGGCUUGCGUCUUAUUAGCUAGUUGGAGGGGUAACGGCCCACCAAGGCGAUGAUCAGUAGCCGGGCUGGGGGGAUGGACGGCCACAUUGGGACGGGGACACGGCCCAGACUCCUACGGGAGGCAGCAGUGGGGAAUCUUCCGCAAUGGACGAAAAGCUGACGGAGCAACGCCGCGUGGGUGAUGACGGCCUUCGGGUUGUAAAGCUAUGUUAAUCGGGACGCGGUACCGGAAGAGAAAGCCACGGCUAACUACGUGCCAGCAGCCGCGGUAAUAC
This 408-nucleotide ribosomal RNA is filed under the name uncultured bacterium. Its description in RNAcentral is "partial 16S ribosomal RNA". It matches the Rfam family "Bacterial small subunit ribosomal RNA", at positions 28 to 526 of the family's 1533-position model. The record is from RNAcentral.